ACUGCGUGAAGUCGGAAUCGCUAGUAAUCGCGGAUCAGCAUGUCGCGGUGAAUACGUUCCCGGGUCUUGUACACACCGCCCGUCACACCAUGGGAGUGGGUUUUACCAGAAGUAGUUAGCCUAACCGUAAGGGGGGCGAUUACCACGGUAGGAUUCAUGACUGGGGUGAAGUCGUAACAAGGUAGCCGUAUCGGAAGGUGCGGCUGGAUCACCUCCUUUC
RNAcentral lists this ribosomal RNA (220 nucleotides) under Achromobacter xylosoxidans. RNAcentral's name for it is "partial 16S ribosomal RNA". It matches the Rfam family "Bacterial small subunit ribosomal RNA", at positions 1315 to 1533 of the family's 1533-position model. The record is from RNAcentral. Lineage: Bacteria; Pseudomonadati; Pseudomonadota; Betaproteobacteria; Burkholderiales; Alcaligenaceae.